CAGCGUGUAACUGGCAACCGGCAACCGGCAACUGGCAAGCGAGUUAUUGGCGCAGUCUCGUAAUUGAUAAUAUGGAAUGCAACGCAUUGCGAAGCGAAAUCCAUUACGUCGACGGCCGAAGCUGAGAUCCAGCGGAAAUCAGAGCCGGAUUGAGGGUUCAUAUUGUAUGGAACUGCACCUGGCAUAUCCACCAAUCCAAUUGAAUGGAGUAAAAACUGAUUACGCACGCUUACGUACAGCUCUUACAUAAAUUUGUGGGCCAACCGCAAAAACAGAAAUUGAAUGCUCGCUGUCAAGCUGCCCAAUUGCCCAGAAGCAACAAGGAUGCAUUCAUUUUGAGGCAUCUUUUGGCCUGGGCUCGCUUUUGUAAUUGCAGAUGGUUAGCUGCAAUUGUCUCGCUUCAGCCAAGCACUUUAUAAGCCGAAUAAACCGCAGUCAAAUUGAAUUCUCUGGCCGGCUAACAAAACAAGCGACUGAGGGGCAAGUGGCAGGUGGCAGGCUGCAGAACAGCAAAGGCGAACUUCUUAGGCGGUUUAUAUUCCAAUUCCUGCUGUGUAAUAUCAUAAUUUACGACUUUUUGACAAA
Long non-coding RNA from Drosophila montana, 585 nucleotides. RefSeq lists it as uncharacterized. The record is from RefSeq and is a predicted model, not a curated record. The transcript is spliced from 3 exons. NCBI's taxonomy places the organism in Eukaryota, Metazoa, Arthropoda, Insecta, Diptera, Drosophilidae.